AUUGAACGCUGGCGGCGUGCCUAACACAUGCAAGUCGAGCGGUAACAGGUGUAGCAAUACAUGCUGACGAGCGGCGGACGGGUGAGCAAUAUUUGGGAAUCUGCCUAUUAGUGGGGGAUAACCCGGGGAAACUCGGGCUAAUACCGCAUACGCUCUACGGAGGAAAGCGGGGGAUUCGCAAGAACCUCGCGCUCAUGGAGCGGCCGAUAUCUGAUUAGCUAGNGGUAGGGUAAAGCCUACCAAGGCAUCGAUCAGUAGCUGGUCUGAGAGGACGACCAGCCACACUGGGACUGAGACACGGCCCAGACUCCUACGGGAGGCAGCAGUGGGAAUUUUGGACAAUGGGCGCAAGCCUGAUCCAGCAAUGCCGCGUGAGUGAAGAAGGCCUGGUUGUAAGUA
RNAcentral lists this ribosomal RNA (399 nucleotides) under uncultured bacterium. RNAcentral describes it as "bacterial SSU rRNA". It matches the Rfam family "Bacterial small subunit ribosomal RNA", at positions 30 to 430 of the family's 1533-position model. The record is from RNAcentral.